AUAAGUGUUAGGGAGCUUUCUUCAGUCCAGUCCGAGGCGGUUCGAGGGCUGAUCACACAGCCGCUGACUCGUUUGUUCAUGAACACAUCUGCAAGGAGAUGAAUUACGAUGUGUUCUUGAUCGAACGAUGUAGAGGCUGUGUUCAGUUAUUGCUGUCACGUCUUGGACUGAAGGGAGCUCCCUGGCUAUCUUUU
This 194-nucleotide microRNA precursor is filed under the name Daucus carota subsp. sativus. RNAcentral's name for it is "pre miRNA MIR159". It matches the Rfam family "MIR159 microRNA precursor family". Lineage: Eukaryota; Viridiplantae; Streptophyta; Magnoliopsida; Apiales; Apiaceae. The record is from Rfam by way of RNAcentral.